Molecule: ribosomal RNA, 228 nt
Filed under: uncultured Gardnerella sp.
Lineage: Bacteria; Bacillati; Actinomycetota; Actinomycetes; Bifidobacteriales; Bifidobacteriaceae
Description: partial 16S ribosomal RNA
Rfam family: Bacterial small subunit ribosomal RNA
Source: RNAcentral
CCUGCCCCAUGCUCCAGAAUAGCUCUUGGAAACGGGUGGUAAUGCUGGAUGCUCCAACUUGACGCAUGUCUUGUUGGGAAAGUGUUUAGUGGCAUGGGAUGGGGUCGCGUCCUAUCAGCUUGUAGGCGGGGUAAUGGCCCACCUAGGCUUCGACGGGUAGCCGGCCUGAGAGGGCGGACGGCCACAUUGGGACUGAGAUACGGCCCAGACUCCUACGGGAGGCAGCAG